ACUGGAUUCACAAAAAUAUAGACAGCUAGCUGUCAAAAUAGUGAGCUUGCCCCUCAUGCCAAACAUUAAGUCCUUAUAGAAAGUGAAGGAUCACAUUAACAUCUAGUAGCAAACAGUAAACAUGAGAGAGUAAAAUAACACUACAUAACAGUUAGCCUGAAAGUAAAUUAGCUAGCUAACAGUUUUUUCAAACUUUAUUACACAAUGGAACAGGUUUACCAUUCCAACAACAAGGCUUUGCAGACCACACAUCCACACAUCACCAAACACUGCAGGCUCUUCCAUCUCAGACUGUGCUGAUUGGAGGAGCUGAUUGAAGCAUCUCCUAAAGGUACACUAUGAAGAUUAAACCCCAGCUGUUUUGAUCACUUCCCUCAGCAGUGAAUCACCAGAUUCAGGUUGCAAGAAAACGAACAGGUGCUGCACAUCGGCACAGCUUGGGUUAUGUACUAGAGUGUGAAGUCAACCUCCCACUCACCAUCACUGAGAUGAAACGUCAACAAAGGGGCAAUAAUCUGAGGUCAG
Molecule: long non-coding RNA, 525 nt
Organism: Thunnus maccoyii (southern bluefin tuna)
Lineage: Eukaryota; Metazoa; Chordata; Actinopteri; Scombriformes; Scombridae
Exons: 3
Source: RefSeq, a predicted model, not a curated record